Long non-coding RNA from Argiope bruennichi, 212 nucleotides. RefSeq lists it as uncharacterized. NCBI's taxonomy places the organism in Eukaryota, Metazoa, Arthropoda, Arachnida, Araneae, Araneidae. The record is from RefSeq and is a predicted model, not a curated record. The transcript is spliced from 3 exons.
CGAUAAAGGAACCGUUAUUUUUCGCAGAUAAUUCAGCGGUGUCCUCAGAGGACUUUGUAAUUUCUGAGCAGCAAGAAAGCUAACUUCUGAUGGACCUCACAAUUUUGAUCCAAAACUGAAAAGGAUAACAAUAGCCAGUACCCCCUUCAAAUUUCUGCAUCAAAUAACUGUACAUGCUGGGAUCAAAUCUGCUAUGGAAAUGCAAGCGGGAG